GGGGAAUUAGCUCAGAUGGUAGAGCGCUCGCUUUGCAUGCGAGAGGUAGGGGGAUCGAUACCCUCAUUCUCCA
Molecule: transfer RNA, 73 nt
Organism: Coccomyxa subellipsoidea C-169
Lineage: Eukaryota; Viridiplantae; Chlorophyta; Trebouxiophyceae; Coccomyxaceae
Rfam family: tRNA
About the family: Transfer RNA (tRNA) molecules are approximately 80 nucleotides in length. Their secondary structure includes four short double-helical elements and three loops (D, anti-codon, and T loops).
Source: Rfam